Molecule: ribosomal RNA, 232 nt
Filed under: uncultured bacterium
Lineage: Bacteria
Description: partial 16S ribosomal RNA
Rfam family: Bacterial small subunit ribosomal RNA (bases 28-232)
Source: RNAcentral
GACGAGCCCACCAACGUAUUCGAUACUGGCGUAAGGUAGCGUAGGCUGUGCAGAAAGUUAGGAUGUGAAAGCCCUCGGCUCAACCGAGGAAUUGCGUCCAAAACUACUGUGCUGGAGGGAGGCAGAGGUGAGCGGAACUAAUGGUGGAGCGGUGAAAUGCGUUGAUAUCAUUAGGAACACCAGUGGCGAAGGCGGCUCACUGGGCCUCUCCUGACGCUGAUGCACGAAAGCC